Molecule: ribosomal RNA, 439 nt
Filed under: uncultured bacterium
Lineage: Bacteria
Description: partial 16S ribosomal RNA
Rfam family: Bacterial small subunit ribosomal RNA
Source: RNAcentral
CCUACGGGAGGCAGCAGUGGGGAAUAUUGCACAAUGGGCGAAAGCCUGAUGCAGCAACGCCGCGUGAGCGAUGAAGGCCUUCGGGUCGUAAAGCUCUGUCCUCAAGGAAGAUAAUGACGGUACUUGAGGAGGCAGCCCCGGCUAACUACGUGCCAGCCGCCGCGGUAAUACGUAGGGGGCUAGCGUUAUCCGGAAUUACUGGGCGUAAGGGGUGCGUAGGUGGUUUCUUAAGUCAGAGGUGAAAGGCUACGGCUCAACCGUAGUAAGCCUUUGAAACUGGGGAACUUGAGUGCAGGAGAGGAGAGGUGAAUUCCUAGUGUAGCGGUGAAAUGCGUAGAUAUUAGGAGGAACACCAGUUGCGAAGGCGGCUCGCUGGACUGUAACUGACACUGAGGCACGAAAGCGUGGGGAGCAAACAGGAUUAGAUACCCGGGUAGUC